Capsicum annuum is the source of this 949-nucleotide long non-coding RNA. RefSeq lists it as uncharacterized. The transcript is spliced from 2 exons. The record is from RefSeq and is a predicted model, not a curated record. Lineage: Eukaryota; Viridiplantae; Streptophyta; Magnoliopsida; Solanales; Solanaceae.
UAAGUCAAUUCAAUUACCUCCAAUUUAUUUAAAUUCUAGCCUUAUUUCAAUUUUAAAACAAUUUUCUAUCCCUUUCUCAAUUUUAAUCACAACCAUUUAUCUCAUCCGAUCAAUGGCUGAGAUCGAAUCCACCAUUUAUCACCCUCUUAAACAAAACCAACCCUAAACCCUAAUUGUAAAAGAGCCGCAGCUCCCCCCUCUCUCUACCUCUACAUUUCUCUUAUUAUCACCAGCAUCAAUGGCUGUCGUCGGCAGUCCCAGCGUCGGUGAAGCCCCUCAUCUCUCUCUACAAACCUCUCUCUCUCGUCUCCCUCUUUAAAGAUCAGCCACCGCCGGCAUGCGAACCAGCGCCGCCACAAAAUAGCAAAAACAGCCAUGAUAAGUCCCUGCAUUGCUCUCCUACACCGGUAAAACAACCGUUUCAGCCACGCCGCCAUCCAAUUCGGCCCCACCGACGAACAACCAGUGGCUACCCACACCACUAUAUGACCAGUCACCAUCAGAACCUGCCUCCACCAGCCGCGAUUCAGCCUCUCCUCUCGUCACCGAUCACGUUCUUGUUGAAAUUGAGGACCGGUACUUGAAAUGUGAACUUGAAAUGUGACUUUUGUUUUGAAUAUGAAGAUUAUGAAAUGGACUGUUGACUUCAAACCUGAGGUGAGACCUCCAUCGUUCCAGUGUGGAUCUUGAUACACCAACUGUCGUGGCAACUUUUUAAAUGGCAAAUCUUGUCAAAAUUAGUCUAAGAAAUAGAAGUGGUUGUGGCUCCUGACCAGGCUACUUUCUCAAAAACUAGGGGAAACGUGGCCAAGGUUAAAGUGGAGAUUGAUCUCCUAAAAUCGAGAUUAGAUCAAUUAUUGUUUGUUUUCAAUAGAAUGGAUGGGUCCGAGGAUGAAAAAUGGCUGAAUGUUGAAUAUGAAAAAGUCCCUGGUUACUAUCUUUAUUGUAA